AUCCAAAAUCUAUAAAGAACUCACCAAACUCCACACCCGAAAAACAAAUAAUCAAUCCAGUGAAGAAAUGGGCAGAAAACAUGAAUAUUCAACUGGUAAUAGCAGAACUCUGUGGGCGAGACGGGGAAGAGCAGGGGUUGGGGGCCUCGUCACCAGCCGCUGCCAUUGGCCGAGCUGCCGGAGAGGGGCGCUCGCAGUUGUCGCUGGGGUCUGGCCUUGGCCGCGGCGGUUGGAGCGGUGGAGCCGGCGCGCCAGAGCAACCAUGCAGCAGCGGGCGCGGCGGGCGCGGGGGGCCCGGGGACCUGCGGGGAUGCGUCUGAUGCUUUGCUUCCUGCUGUUGAGCAGCUGCCCUGGGGGCUGGGACGCCAUUAGUCCCCACGGCUGUCUCUUUGCCCGAAGACUCUGCUCUUACCUGGAAGUCUGUGCCAAGGGACUGUUCUGGAAAGAUGAUGUCACUCAAGAUGUAAAGACCCAGAAGAUGGAGCACAUGCCCAGGCUCCACGCCUCAGAGACCUACAUGAGGGAUGGGUAGACAGCCUUUCCCACCAAAACCACCACACUGAGAGCCCAGUGACCAAGGUGAACAAGGAACAAUGCUUGAACUCUAGAAUGGUUUCGGAGGUCCUGAACCAAGCAAGAGAUGACCAACCACAGCAAGGCCCCACUGCAGGUGAGGGCCUGCCCUUGUCCAGGAACGCUGAGCCCACCAAGGGCCUGUUUACAGAGGGAGACAGGGUGAAGGAGGGGAUAGACAUUGGUUGAUAAGGAAUGAUUUCACUGAGACUGAUGGAGAACCUUCUGGAAGAGAGGGCCUGGAGGAUGGAAAAGAACAGAGCCAGCCCAAUCUUCACCCUGCCACUGCCCAGCCGUGACCUUGGACACAUUACCUAGGCUCUUCAAGUCCCUUCUUCCACAUCUGUAAAAUGGGAAUGGUAAUAAAGACGACCCUUCCGGUGUUGCUGUGUGGAUC
This 970-nucleotide long non-coding RNA is filed under the name Felis catus (domestic cat). RNAcentral describes it as "lncRNA (ENSFCAG00000053028.1)". The record is from RNAcentral. Lineage: Eukaryota; Metazoa; Chordata; Mammalia; Carnivora; Felidae.